This is a long non-coding RNA of Physeter macrocephalus (sperm whale), 3459 nucleotides long. RefSeq lists it as uncharacterized. The transcript has 2 exons. The record is from RefSeq and is a predicted model, not a curated record. Lineage: Eukaryota; Metazoa; Chordata; Mammalia; Artiodactyla; Physeteridae.
GCACAAAUGAACCUAUCAUGAACCUGAACCUAUCUACAAAACAGAAAUGGACUAGCAGACAUAGAGAACAGACUCAUUGUUGCCAAGGGGGAGGUGGAGAGGGAGAGGGAUGGACUGGGAGUUUGGGGUUCGUAUAUGCAAACUAUUACAUUUAGAAUUGAUAAACAACAAGGUCCUAAUGUACAGCACGGAACUAUAUCCAAUCUCCUGGGAAAAACCAUAAUGGAAAAGAAUAUUAAAAAAGAAUGUAUAUAUGUGUAUAAUUGAGUCACUUUGCUUUACAGCAGAAGUUAACACAACGUUGUAAAUCAACUAUACUUCAAUUUAAAAAAAAAAGGGGGGGGGACAUGGUACCAUCUAGUAAAUUGUGCCUAUAAGACAGCUACAUCUUCGAGCCUCUUAGCUUUGCUGUUAUUCUUUGAGAAUUGAGAGAUGUAUCAUUUUCUAUACUUUUAAAAAAUCUUGUCACCUCUUCUGUUAUUCCCAGCUUUUUACCCUGCCACUUUAAUUCAUUUUUAUCUCUUCAUGUUUUAUACUUCACUCCUCCUGAAACUAUCGUUCUUAUGGUCUUGAUCUGGAAUUUAGGGUUUACAUUUAAGUUUAAUCUAAUUAGCAUAUAGCAGGUGCUUUCUCAUCAAGCAGAGCACUGCAAGAGGCAUAAAGAAGAGUUCCUAUCCUGGAAAAUCUGGUAAUAGACCCACCAAAGCAUUAGGCGUAAGCAUUUUUGAAUUGAGUUGGAUACAGUGUUUGUGGUCAGAUAGGAAUAGAUUACAUAAUGGAAUGGCUGUAAAUGAAUAUCAGAUGGACAGAGAAUUGAUCCCCCUGUGAUGGGCACUGUCUCUCAUUCCAGUUUUCAAAGGUCGGCCUACAUCUGUCUGAAUCUCAAUUGAAUCCUUCACCUGAAAUUUCAACAUCACAUCUCCAAAUUGAGUUCUCAUUCUGUGUCCAGCAUAAUAUCAGUUGCCACGUGUUUGUUUUAUCCUGGCUACCUGAAUCUGAUUGAACUUGAUAGAAACAGCUUUUGAUGAGCACAGAACUGUAUAAGUACAUUUUAAAUGUUAACAAACCAACUUUUGGAAAAUUUCAACAUUACUUUCCAAUCACCUCCACCACCCUCACUUUUAUUAUGCAGUCCUCUUCCACUGCUUUCAGUUAGUCAUACUGUAUGAGUCAGGAUUCAGUCAGGAAAACAAAAGCAGCCACUCUGUAUAUCCCAGGAGUAAAGGGUUUAUUGUCGGAAUUAAAGUUGACACCCCCAUUGGGAGAGCUGGAGGAGGGAGGAUCAGAUCAGGCCAUGGUCGGCGGAGCUCAGGGACUCUCUUCCUUACACAGUGGAGCGCGGGCUCAGGACUUGAGGGGAAGCUGCUCUCAUCCUUAGGAAUCCCAGGGUAGUCCCCACCAGUAUCUCAGUUUGCAGUAGUGGAGCAGGUGGUUUUCAAGAAUGCUCUGGAAAGCUUCUGCAAAUCUCACAUCUGCCCACACUUGGCAACAGCCUCCAGAGAACAAUGGCUUCCUCUCCCAACUUCCAAAUCUUGAAAGAGUGCCUCUCAUUGGUCAUGUUUAACCUGGAACCACCCCCCCACGUGGGGGGAGGGGAUCCUGGGAAAUGUAGUUUCUGAUGUCUCUAAAGUACGGAAGGUGGCAGUGAUGCUGAGUUGACAACAGGCAGGACACAGAUAAGUCCAGUUUGAUUCUAGGAGGAGCUUAUUGAUAUCAACUCAUGUCCUAGCUCCUUUUGUCAUUCUGAAACUUCAUGUUUUAGGUUCAGUAAAAAGCAAUUCAGUAUAGUGAAGGUGGCUUUAACAUUCUCGUAUAUAAAUUCCUAAUUGUUCCAUAGCCAAUAGUCAGCCCUUGCAACAUCAGAUAAGUUCUUUGCUGGAGAUAUGUUUAUUUCUCAAAUGAAACUGGAAGCUGAGACUUUUCUUAUAUCCUUCCUAGGAUUCCACAAUUCUUUGAAGACAUUUAAAAAUAUCAGUUAACUUGUCUUCAUAUUUUUUUUUUUUGGCCAUGCCGCAUUGCAUGCGGGAUCUUAGUUACCUGACCAGGGAUCGAACCCAUGCCCCCUGCAUUGGGAGCGCCUUAACUGGACCACCAGGGAAGUCCCUUAGUGUUUUAAAUAUAUAUUUUAAGAAAGCAGUUCUCCACUGGGGACAGUUUUUACCCUGUGGGACAUUUGGCAAUAUCUGGAGACAAUUUUGACCAUCAGAACUGGGGGAGGUGCUACUGGCAGCUAGUAGACAGAGGUCAGAGAUGUGCUAAACAUGCUACAAUGCACAGGACAGUCCCCAUAACACAGAAUUGUCCAGCCCCAGAAGCCAGUAGCCUGAGAUUGAGAUACCCUAUUUAGGUCAGUGAAGAGGAAAGAGUGCUGGCUAUGAGGCAGGUCUGGAUUAUUUGAAUCUUGGCUCUGCCACAUAUGAGCUGAGAUAUCUUGGACAAUUUGCAUUAUAUUUAUGAGCUUCAGUUUCCCCAUUUUAUAUGGGCAUGAUAGUGCCCUCCUUACAUGAUUGAGAAAGGAUUUGAGAUAGCCAUUCUGACAGGUGUGAGAUGAUAGCUCACUGUGGUUUUGAUUUGCAUUUCUCUGAUGAUUAGUGAUGUUGCGAUAUCACCUCAUACCUGUCAGAAUAGAUACUGUCAAGAAGACAGGAAUAACAAGUAUUAGUGAGGAUGUGGAGAGAAAAGGAAACACUUGUGCACUGUUGGUGGGAAUGUAAAUUGGUACAGCCACUGUGGAAAACAGUAUGGAGGUUCCUCAAAAAAAUUAAAAAUUGUACUAUCAUGAGAUCCAGCAAUGCCACUCCUGAGUAUAUAUCCAAGGAAAAUGAAAACACUAAUUUGAAAAGAUACAUGCACCCCAGUGUUCAUAGCAGCAUUAUUUACAAUUGCCAAGAUAUGAAAGCAACCUAAGCCCAUCAACAGAAGAAUGAAUAAAGAUGUGGGGUGUGUGGGUGUGUGGCGGUGUGUGUGUGUGUGUGUAUCUACAAUAGAACGCUACUCAGCCGUAAAAAAGAAUGAAAUUUUGCCAUUUGUGACAACAUGGAUGGACCUGGAGAUUAUCAUACUAAGUGAAAUAAGUCAGAAAGACAAAUACUGUAUGUUUUCACUUCUAUGUGGAGUAUAAAAAAAUGAAACAAAUGAACAAACAUAACAAAACCAAAACAGACGCACAGAUACAGAAAACAAAUGGUAGUUAACCAGAGGGAAGUGAAGGAGGAGGAGGGGUAAAGGGGAUUAAGAGGUACAAACUACUAGGUAUAAAAUAGGUAAGUUACAAGGAUGUAAAGUGCAGCACAGGGAAUAUAGUCAACAUUUUAUAAUAACUUUAUAUGGAGGAUAAUCUAUAAAAAUACUAAAUCACUAUGUUGCACACCUGAAACUAACAGUAUUGUAAGUCAACUAUACUUCAAUUAAAAUUUUUUUAAGUUAGAAAAAGAAUCUGACACCAUAAAGUGCUCAAUA